This 1100-nucleotide ribosomal RNA is filed under the name uncultured bacterium. Its description in RNAcentral is "bacterial SSU rRNA". It matches the Rfam family "Bacterial small subunit ribosomal RNA". The record is from RNAcentral.
GGGAGGCACAUUAGAAUUUGUCAUGGGGACCUGACCAUCUUUCGUCCAGAGCGCUUACGUGUAUCUGCUUGCACGGGAUAACCUCAUUAUGUAUAUGAGCUGAAUGUACGUGAGAAAUAAGAUCGCUACUCGUGCCAGCAGCGCGUAUACGAGAUCCGAGCGUAUCAGAUUAUGGGUUUAAAGGGUGCGCAGCGGGAUCUAAGUCAGGGUGAAAGACGUGGCUCAACCAUCGCAGUGCUUGAUACUGGAUUCCUUGAAUAUACUGAGGUAGGCGGAAUGUGGCAAGUAGCGGUGAAAUGCAUAGAUAUGCCACAGAACACCGAUUGCGAAGGCAGCUUACCAAAGUAUGAUUGACGCUGAGGCACGAAAGCGUGGGGAUCGAACAGGAUUAGAUACCCUGGUAGUCCACGCCCUAAACGAUGAACACUCGAUGUCGGCGAUAGACAGUCGGCGUCCAAGCGAAAGCGUUAAGUGUUCCACCUGGGGAGUACGCCCGCAAGGGUGAAACUCAAAGGAAUUGACGGGGGCCCGCACAAGCGGAGGAGCAUGUGGUUUAAUUCGAUGAUACGCGAGGAACCUUACCCGGGCUUGAAAGUUACUGAAGAUAGCAGAGAUGUUAUCGUCCUUCGGGACAGGAAACUAGGUGCUGCAUGGCUGUCGUCAGCUCGUGCCGUGAGGUGUUGGGUUAAGUCCCGCAACGAGCGCAACCCCUGUGGAUAGUUGCCAGCACAUAAUGGUGGGGACUCUAUCCAGACUGCCUGUGCAAACAGAGAGGAAGGCGGGGACGACGUCAAGUCAUCAUGGCCCUUACGUCCGGGGCUACACACGUGCUACAAUGGGCGGUACAGAGGGCAGCCAACCUGCAAAGGUGCGCCAAUCCCUUAAAGCCGUUCACAGUUCGGAUCGGGGUCUGCAACUCGACCCCGUGAAGCUGGAUUCGCUAGUAAUCGCGUAUCAGCAAUGACGCGGUGAAUACGUUCCCGGGCCUUGUACACACCGCCCGUCAAGCCAUGAAAGUUGGGGGUACCUAAAGCAUGUGACCGCAAGGAGCGUGUUAGGGUAAAACCGAUAAUUGGGGCUAAGUCGUAACAAGGUAGCCG